This 520-nucleotide ribosomal RNA is filed under the name uncultured bacterium. RNAcentral describes it as "bacterial SSU rRNA". It matches the Rfam family "Bacterial small subunit ribosomal RNA", at positions 777 to 1297 of the family's 1533-position model. The record is from RNAcentral.
AAUAGAUACCCCGGUAGUCCACGCCGUAAACGAUGUCGACUUGAAGGUUGUUCCCUUGAGGAGUGGCUUCCGGAGCUAACGCGUUAAGUCGACCGCCUGGGGAGUACGGCCGCAAGGUUAAAACUCAAAUGAAUUGACGGGGGCCCGCACAAGCGGUGGAGCAUGUGGUUUAAUUCGAUGCAACGCGAAGAACCUUACCUACUCUUGACAUCCAGAGAACUUAGCAGAGAUGCUUUGGUGCCUUCGAGAACUCUGAGACAGGUGCUGCAUGGCUGUCGUCAGCUCGUGUUGUGAAAUGUUGGGUUAAGUCCCGCAACGAGCGCAACCCUUAUCCUUUGUUGCCAGCGGUCCGGCCGGGAACUCAAAGGAGACUGCCAGUGAUAAACUGGAGGAAGGUGGGGAUGACGUCAAGUCAUCAUGGCCCUUACGAGUAGGGCUACACACGUGCUACAAUGGCGCAUACAAAGAGAAGCGACCUUGCGAGAGCAAGCGGACCUCAUAAAGUGCGUCGUAGUCCGGA